GAAGUUCCCAAAUCAAUUUCAUUAUCCGAGGAAGAAGGGAUCCUAAUGGCUUCUGAUGUGUUUUGGUCCAAUAAUGACCCAACUGGAGAGAGCGAAAAAGGCAUGCAGCAGGGUGAUCUUUUGCAGCAGCAAUCGAAUUAUCAGUGUGCAGAGGAUUACCUACAACAUCCUGAUCUAUCCUGCUUUGACAUUGGGGAGAUUGAAGAUGUCGAUGGAGAUUGGUUAGGUUAGCAUGAUUCUUUGGUUUUAUCUCAUAUCAUGCUUUUGAAUCAUGAGAGAAACAUUAUCUUUUUCCCAAUCAAUCAAUAUAUAUAUAUAUAUAUAUA
Molecule: non-coding RNA, 326 nt
Organism: Cucurbita pepo subsp. pepo (vegetable marrow)
Lineage: Eukaryota; Viridiplantae; Streptophyta; Magnoliopsida; Cucurbitales; Cucurbitaceae
Source: RefSeq, a predicted model, not a curated record